AAUAAAGAACAAAAGGAAAGAAGAAAAGAAAAAGAGAAAGGCAGAACACUCAGCAGCAAAGAAGCAGAAAGAUGGGCGCUGUGGCGCCCGGUAGGCAAAAACAGAAUACCCAGCGGUGCAGCGCCGGUGAUGGGCGAUGCGGUGCCGGGUCCCGAACCAGGAAGAAAUCAGAUUUUUAAAUAUAUUAUCUCGGCCCAAUUGAUCCCAAACCCAUCUAAAACUCCAUGCCAAUAUAUAUACCAUUGAGAAGACCUAAUUGAGGGAGGAGAACGGGAAGAGAAAACGGAAGGCAGCCGGUAGAACACAUUGGAAAUUCUUGUAGGAGUCAGUCGGCAUCCAAAAAAACCAGAAUCUGAAGAGAAUUUUAGCCGAAAUCAGAGGGAAAUUCUAGACAAAGUAAAUCUGGGAGGCAACAGCAUCAAGAGCUUGAAUUGGAGAGAUUGAGCCGACAACGCAGGAGACAAAUUCAAGUGGACUGCUGGGAAAGCUCAGAAAAGGACAUUAAUUGAGAGGGACCAGCAACCAAUUGGAGAAGAAUUAUAUUCCUUUUCAUCCUAUGUUUAUGCUUUUCAAUUUAUUUUUGUCAGUUCUCUCAAUUUUAAGUCUAGGGAUUGAUGUAAUCUGCUUGAGACAUAU
RNAcentral lists this long non-coding RNA (636 nucleotides) under Olea europaea (common olive). RNAcentral's name for it is "long non-coding RNA (OEUR_LNC003247)". The record is from RNAcentral. Lineage: Eukaryota; Viridiplantae; Streptophyta; Magnoliopsida; Lamiales; Oleaceae.